GCCGAUGUAGCUCAGCUGGUAGAGCAACGGUUUCGUAAACCGUAGGUCGUGGGUUCGAAUCCCGUCAUCGGCU
Molecule: transfer RNA, 73 nt
Filed under: Candidatus Melainabacteria bacterium
Lineage: Bacteria; Bacillati; Candidatus Melainabacteria
Also listed under: 1 other name
Description: tRNA-Thr
Rfam family: tRNA
About the family: Transfer RNA (tRNA) molecules are approximately 80 nucleotides in length. Their secondary structure includes four short double-helical elements and three loops (D, anti-codon, and T loops).
Source: RNAcentral